CCGGAGGAAACGGAGGCUGCGCUUGCGUAUGUGUGAUGCCGCCGCCCCACCGUCUACUUUCCCACCGACCCCGCUUACGUCUACCGCCUACCAAAACCUCGCAAGAAGCUCGCCCUUGUCGUCUCCCAGCGGGCUUCUUAGCUCCCAGCUUGUUUGAUGGGGGUGCCUCUUUUUCUUUCCAGGUAUAGCUGUCCAGCGACACCAUCAUGCAUUCAUUUCUCCAACAAACAUUUUCAUGGGCUCUUGCUCUAUACUGGGGAUGUAGUGGUAAAUGAAAUGGACGAGGCCCUGCCCUCGUGGAACUUACAGUCUGGCAAAGGAAACAGACAAUAAAAUUCUCAGUUGUCUAAGGAGGCAGAGAUGCAUGGGGAGAGGAUCAGAGUAGGGAUGCGGAAGCAGCGAGUGGUCAGGAGUGUGCGUGCCAAAAGGCAGGAGACCUGUGGGACGUGGGGGCAGCUGGGGCCGGAACUUGCGCUGGAGGAACACCCCUUGCCUGCUGGGGCGAGAAGAGGACCCUUUCCUUGGGUGAAAUUCCCCAUAUUGUUAAAAGGACAAUUAAAGAAAUGAAAGAGAGGUCACCUGGGUGAAUAGGCAACUUAGAUGGGCCUCCCUGUGUUCCUGUCAUGCCUCCAAUUCUGCGUCCAGGUGUCCGGAACACAUUUUUUUCUGCCUUUGAAACCUUCCAGUACCUCUGGCAGAGAUAUACCAUACCCUCCUUGUUACCUGCGUGCGGAAUCUUAACUCAUCGUUGUGCUACAUCUGCACCUUCUGCCUUUGUGCCUUGUUUUGUGUUUUCCCUCCUCCGGGGAGAAUAUAAUAAACUUAGCUGAGUCCGUUCUACA
Molecule: long non-coding RNA, 842 nt
Filed under: Homo sapiens (human)
Lineage: Eukaryota; Metazoa; Chordata; Mammalia; Primates; Hominidae
Description: HSALNT0309012
Source: RNAcentral